Non-coding RNA from Plectosphaerella plurivora, 110 nucleotides. The record is from the annotation of a GenBank genome assembly. Lineage: Eukaryota; Fungi; Ascomycota; Sordariomycetes; Glomerellales; Plectosphaerellaceae.
GGCAAGGUGGCCGAGUGGUUAAGGCGAUAGACUCGAACUAACCUGAUCCGUCAGGCAAACUCGGCUAUCUAUUGGGUUCGCCCGCGUAGGUUCAAAUCCUGCCCUUGUCG